Non-coding RNA from Phoenix dactylifera (date palm), 1071 nucleotides. Lineage: Eukaryota; Viridiplantae; Streptophyta; Magnoliopsida; Arecales; Arecaceae. The record is from RefSeq and is a predicted model, not a curated record.
ACAAUCCCCUCGUUCCCUUCAACUCCUCCCUCGCACCUGAUCGCUCCCACAAUCAAAAAGCCAUUCUUUUCGAGCUCCUCCAAGGUCAAGAACACCUGCAUCUCAUCCAGAGAAGUUGCGGUGAGGGGGUUUCCUUUCCCUUCCAAUAAGAAGAAAUGGCUGCCAUGAACUCCAGUGUGCUGGCAUGCAACUAUGCUCUCCCAGGAGCAUCAGAAUCUAGCUUGAAGCUCAUGCCAAUGGCAUCAACUGCAUCAACUUCAGCUUCUAGGCCAAAAUUGCCAGUGAUCAGAGCCCAGCAAGUUCGAGCAGCCGAACCAAAGGAAGGAAGAGGAAUUGAGGGAAGAAGAGCUGCACUCCUCGGCUUGGCUGCCGCUCUCUUCACCACAGCGGCCGCUACCUCGCCGGCUAAUGCUGGUGUCAUUGAGGAGUAUCUUGAGAGAAGCAAAGCCAACAAGGAACUGAAUGACAAAAAGAGGUUGGCUACAAGUGGUGCAAACUUUGCUCGGGCAUACACAGUGGAGUUUGGCACAUGCAAGUUCCCUGAGAACUUCACUGGGUGCCAAGAUUUGGCUAAACAAAAGGUUUGAGAUGCUGUCAAAAUUCUUAUCUGUCUGCUAUAUAGCUAAAUUAUAUAUUUGGCGUGCAAAGAGAUAUACAUGUGUGCCAGGAAAUGCUCGGCAUAGUUUUGACUCUCCAAUUAAAUGCAAGUUUUUAGUAAUUGUUGCCUGAGUCCUGAAUUGGUGCGUCUCCUAAGUUCGCUCCAAAUGCACUCCAUUCUAAUUCUUACUGAUUUUUAGGAAAUCCAGUCUUCUUGUCUACAUAAGCUGGAUUUCGGGCGCGUAAAUAUUUUUUUCAAUGUCCUCAAACGAUGACCAAUUCUAAUUCUGGUUCUCAGGCAUAUGUGGUGAUUAAUGAAGAGUACAUAGUGAAAAUACUAAAAUUAUUGAAGUAUAUCUUAAUUUUCCAAUUUCAACUAGAUAGAAUAGCUACACUAUGCGCUGAGAAACUCUUGUAUUUUGCACUUGGCAUUUGAAAUUGUAUUAUCAGGUUUAUAUUUAAAAUUUUCAGCUA